AGUCGACGGAUCCUAUUGAAACCUAGUGAUGUAUGGAUUAGUGGCGGACGGGUGAGUAACGCGUGGAUAACCUGCCGUAUACAGGGGGAUAACACUUAGAAAUAGGUGCUAAUACCGCAUAAGCGCACGGUUCCGCAUGGAACAGUGUGAAAAACUUCGGUGGUAUACGAUGGAUCCGCGUCUGAUUAGCCAGUUGGCGGGGUAACGGCCCACCAAAGCGACGAUCAGUAGCCGGCCUGAGAGGGUGAACGGCCACAUUGGGACUGAGACACGGCCCAAACUCCUACGGGAGGCAGCAGUGGGGAAUAUUGCACAAUGGGGGAAACCCUGAUGCAGCGACGCCGCGUGAGUGAAGAAGUAUUUCGGUACGUAAAGCUCUAUCUGCAGGGAAGAAAAGAAGUCCUUUGGAUUUUGGACGGUACCUGACCAAGAAGCCCCGGCUAACUACGUGCCAGCAGCCGCGGUAAUACGUAGGGGGCAAGCGUUAUCCGGAUUUACUGGGUGUAAAGGGAGCGUAGACGGCAGCGCAAGUCUGGAGUGAAAUGCCGGGACCCAACCCCGGAACUGCUUUGGAAACUGUGCAGCUCGAGUGCAGGAGAGGUAAGCGGAAUUCCUAGUGUAGCGGUGAAAUGCGUAGAUAUUAGGAGGAACACCAGUGGCGAAGGCGGCUUACUGGACUGUAACUGACGUUGAGGCUCGAAAGCGUGGGGAGCAAACAGGAUUAGAUACCCUGGUAGUCCACGCCG
This 746-nucleotide ribosomal RNA is filed under the name uncultured bacterium. RNAcentral's name for it is "bacterial SSU rRNA". It matches the Rfam family "Bacterial small subunit ribosomal RNA", at positions 60 to 802 of the family's 1533-position model. The record is from RNAcentral.